ACUGCUCAGUAACACGUGGAUAACCUGCCCUUGGGUCCGGCAUAACUCCGGGAAACUGGAGAUAAUUCCGGAUAACGCAUAUAUGCUGGAAUGCUUUAUGCGUAAAAUGGAUUCGUCUGCCCAAGGAUGGGUCUGCGGCCUAUCAGGUAGUAGUGGGUGUAAUGUACCUACUAGCCUGCGACGGGUACGGGUUGUGAGAGCAAGAGCCCGGAGAUGGAUUCUGAGACAUGAAUCCAGGCCCUACGGGGCGCAGCAGGCGCGAAAACUUUACAAUGCGGGAAACCGUGAUAAGGGGACACCGAGUGCCAGCAUCAUAUGCUGGCUGUCCAGGUGUGUAAAAUACACCUGUUAGCAAGGGCCGGGCAAGACCGGUGCCAGCCGCCGCGGUAACACCGGCGGCCCGAGUGGUGAUCGUGAUUAUUGGGUCUAAAGGGUCCGUAGCCGGUUUGGUCAGUCCUCCGGGAGAUCUGACGGCUCAACCGUUAGGCUUUCGGGGGAUACUGCCAGGCUUGGAACCGGGAGAGGUAAGAGGUACUACAGGGGUAGGAGUGAAAUCUUGUAAUCCCUGUGAGACCACCUGUGGCGAAGGCGUCUUACCAGAACGGGUUCGACGGUGAGGGACGAAAGCUGGGGGCACGAACCGGAUUAGAUACCCGGGUAGUCCCAGCCGUAAACGAUGCUCGCUAGGUGUCAGGCAUGGCGCGACCGUGUCUGGUGCCGCAGGGAAGCCGUGAAGCGAGCCACCUGGGAAGUACGGCCGCAAGGCUGAAACUUAAAGGAAUUGGCGGGGGAGCAC
Molecule: ribosomal RNA, 796 nt
Filed under: uncultured Methanosarcina sp.
Lineage: Archaea; Methanobacteriati; Methanobacteriota; Methanomicrobia; Methanosarcinales; Methanosarcinaceae
Description: SSU rRNA
Rfam family: Archaeal small subunit ribosomal RNA
Source: RNAcentral